AGUGAACCUGCGGAAGGAUAU
This 21-nucleotide ribosomal RNA is filed under the name Ourisia integrifolia. RNAcentral describes it as "partial 18S ribosomal RNA". The record is from RNAcentral. Lineage: Eukaryota; Viridiplantae; Streptophyta; Magnoliopsida; Lamiales; Plantaginaceae.